GGGCCGGUCGUCUAGCCUGGUAGGACGCCGCCCUUGCGAGGCGGAGGUCCCGGGUUCAAAUCCCGGCCGGUCCACCA
Molecule: transfer RNA, 77 nt
Filed under: Candidatus Bathyarchaeota archaeon
Lineage: Archaea; Thermoproteati; Candidatus Bathyarchaeota
Also listed under: 1 other name
Description: tRNA-Ala
Rfam family: tRNA
About the family: Transfer RNA (tRNA) molecules are approximately 80 nucleotides in length. Their secondary structure includes four short double-helical elements and three loops (D, anti-codon, and T loops).
Source: RNAcentral